This 550-nucleotide ribosomal RNA is filed under the name uncultured bacterium. RNAcentral's name for it is "bacterial SSU rRNA". It matches the Rfam family "Bacterial small subunit ribosomal RNA", at positions 355 to 896 of the family's 1533-position model. The record is from RNAcentral.
UAGGGAAUCUUCCGCAAUGGGCGAAAGCCUGACGGAGCAACGCCGCGUGAGUGAUGAAGGUCUUCGGAUCGUAAAACUCUGUUAUUAGGGAAGAACAUAUGUGUAAGUAACUGUGCACAUCUUGACGGUACCUAAUCAGAAAGCCACGGCUAACUACGUGCCAGCAGCCGCGGUAAUACGUAGGUGGCAAGCGUUAUCCGGAAUUAUUGGGCGUAAAGCGCGCGUAGGCGGUUUUUUAAGUCUGAUGUGAAAGCCCACGGCUCAACCGUGGAGGGUCAUUGGAAACUGGAAAACUUGAGUGCAGAAAAGGAAAGUGGAAUUCCAUGUGUAGCGGUGAAAUGCGCAAAGACAUGGAGGAACACCAGUGGCGAAGGCAACUUUCUGGUCUGUAACUGACGCUGAUGUGCGAAAGCGUGGGGAUCAAACAGGAUUAGAUACCCUGGUAGUCCACGCCGUAAACGAUGAGUGCUAAGUGUUAGGGGGUUUCCGCCCCUUAGUGCUGCAGCUAACGCAUUAAGCACUCCGCCUGGGGAGUACGACCGCAAGGUUG